CAUUCAAGCAAGGAAAUUGACAUAAUUUCAGAACAUGCUCAGGAUAAAGUCUUCCUUUCUACAGGGAAUUGAGUGGCUGACAACUCCAGGAAACGUCAAAUUGACUUUAACUUCAUGCCCACUGCUUGGGCUUUAUAUUAGCAUGUGUUUAUUUGACCAGACACAAGUGUUGAAUUUCAUUAAAUCUGUCCAUUUCAAGUCUCCUUUAACUUGAGAAUUACUUGAGAUUUUCUUUUAUCUUAUCACUAUCCUUUUCCUACCUAGUACAAGUACAGAGAAUGUUGAAAUAUGUUUAGGGAAAUAAAUAUUGAAGAUGUUGCAUAUUAGGAAGUGGAUGCAUCUAGUAUCUCUUAUGAAUGGGUGUUAUACUGAAAUAGCCUUUUUAUUUUGGCACAACAAAUACAUUUAAGGAUUAUGCU
RNAcentral lists this long non-coding RNA (419 nucleotides) under Bos taurus (domestic cattle). Its description in RNAcentral is "long non-coding RNA NONBTAT004971". The record is from RNAcentral. Lineage: Eukaryota; Metazoa; Chordata; Mammalia; Artiodactyla; Bovidae.